Molecule: long non-coding RNA, 335 nt
Organism: Coturnix japonica (Japanese quail)
Lineage: Eukaryota; Metazoa; Chordata; Aves; Galliformes; Phasianidae
Source: RefSeq, a predicted model, not a curated record
GACUGCUCCUAUGUGGAGAUUCUACAGUGAGUGUCUUGACUGUGAGCCUCAACAGUGGCAUGAGAUGGGAGGUCACAAAGACUUAACAGAAGGUAGCAAAUGAUUACACAAAAGAGAAGAUGUCACACCCAUGUCUCUUGGAUGCUGAAACAUGACAUUAGAACAGAAUGCCAAUGUGUAACUCUGCAGCUCUGCACAGAACUAUCUGAAGAAGCAGAGCCAAAGGCAAGCAUUCAAGUCCCCAGUACCCAGGUCACUUACUCAUCAUCUUCCCGAGGCCUCUUCAGGGGUUUGGAGUCCUCUUUAGGAGAAGCAUAAAACCCGUCAUCAUCUGG